UAUAGAAAGAAAUCCAAUAUGGUUGAAAUGAGUGACAUCAAGCUACUCCCAACAAAAGACCAAGUGGAAUUUGAAAGUCGUCCUGAUGACGGUACAGUGCAGCCUAAUCGACAAUGGGAAACGGAUACUUUAAAACCUGGGGACGGACCCAAACGAACAUCUGCAUGCUUGAAGAAUGUGAAAAAAAUCUUAAAAGCAUUUGACUUUACUCUGUUCAAAAGCCAUUGUUUCUGCUUAUCGUUGCUUUUUGUCAUUUUGCGGUACCUGUGAAACAGGUUUCAACGUAUCUUCCUGCACGGUUAAAUGAAAUGGGAUACAGUCAAUCUGAGGCAGCAUUUCUUUUGCUGAUCUCAGAAUUCUCGACUUUAUCAGCAGGAUUUUAUACGGAUUUUAGCUGAUCUGAAAUAUCUUCGUGUCAGUCAGAUAAUGGCCAUUGGUCUCUUGGUCUCGGGGCUGUCAUCUCAAUUUAUAAUUUAUUACACAACAUAUCCAUUAAUUGUGACCUACUGUGUGGUGAUUGGCAUCUUCGGAAGUGCAUAUCAGUGCCUAAUACCAGUGAUGGUGGUUGAUUUUCAUGGGAGUCGACUACAUGGCAAAGACUAUUGGAUUUACAGCUUUGUUCCAGGGAUUUGCUAUUUCAUUAACACACCCCAUCACAGGAAGUAUACGUGACUUGAGUGGAUCAUACGUAGCUUGUUUUCACUAUCUGGGAUCAACUGCGUUCUUUGCUGCAGGACUGUUGCUGUGUGAACCCGUAGUGAGACGAUAUGAAUCCAGAAGAAAGAGUCAUCCACGAACAGAGAACGAUGAGUCGACAAUACCACUGAAAUGAACCAAAUGCUGUCAUAAAUGUGCAUUAGAAAGUU
This is a long non-coding RNA of Haliotis rubra (blacklip abalone), 866 nucleotides long. RefSeq lists it as uncharacterized. NCBI's taxonomy places the organism in Eukaryota, Metazoa, Mollusca, Gastropoda, Lepetellida, Haliotidae. The transcript is spliced from 2 exons. The record is from RefSeq and is a predicted model, not a curated record.